CAUUUGGCUGCCUCACUGGUACAUGUGUUGGUGUUCACAACAGCUUUUGAGGAUCCCUUCUCCUUCAAAUGUGUUCACUCAGUCAUGCUGCUGGAGAAUUAUGAAGCUGGGAGGAAUCUCAGUAGUCCCCAGUUGUUAUGUGCUGUAAGGAUGGACAACUUGGCCUACGGGCAUUCUUUGCAAUGACAUUAUCUUUCAGACCAGUGUAAGCCAAUGAUGAAGGGAGCAGUUGUAUGCUUGCUUGCUCAGUAAGCAGGGAAGAAGACUUUUAAGGCAUCCUUAUAAGGUGGAGGCAUGUAUCAUGUAAUAAAAUGAUUCAGAGGAGCAUUUCAUCACUUUGAUUAGGUGCUGCUGGAGUCCGGAGAGCACUUCUCUGUUUUGUGGGUACCCACACACCGACGUUCGCCGGCAUAUGAACUCGGCACAUUGAUUGCUGCCGCUUGAACUCUGGACUUGCCUUUCUCAUUGGUUGUUUGCUUUAACCACAGCGCUGAAUGG
Oxyura jamaicensis (ruddy duck) is the source of this 498-nucleotide long non-coding RNA. RefSeq lists it as uncharacterized. Lineage: Eukaryota; Metazoa; Chordata; Aves; Anseriformes; Anatidae. The record is from RefSeq and is a predicted model, not a curated record. The transcript has 5 exons.